UUGACCUCAAAUCAGGUAGGAAUA
RNAcentral lists this ribosomal RNA (24 nucleotides) under Kluyveromyces hubeiensis. Its description in RNAcentral is "partial 26S ribosomal RNA". Lineage: Eukaryota; Fungi; Ascomycota; Saccharomycetes; Saccharomycetales; Saccharomycetaceae. The record is from RNAcentral.